GGAGUGCAGACCCAUCACCCCUCACUGGGGCCCCCCAUGAGGCCUGCCUGACUGCAUGCCCCACCCGGGCCCAUGGCAGCGCACCUGGAAGCGGACGGCUGAGGACUUGUUGCAGUGCAUGGAGAUGGGCGCGAAGCUGUACAGGGCCUUCAGUACGUCGCGGUUGAAGGAGUUCCAGGGAACAGAGGAUCCCGAAGCCCCCCUGCAAGUUGGAGGAGACCCGUCAGCCCCGGGCCAUGCCACGCAGACGCUGCCAUCCAGCAGCUUUCGCCGCACCCACGUGUACACUGCGUCCACUCGUCUGUUCACUGCACCGUGCCAGGCAUGCUCUGGGGAACCGAGUCCCUGCCCUCAAGGAAUUGCCACCAUUGGCAGGAGAGACAGGCAGUGAGUGAGUGAGUCAACCAGGAAAUUCGUAUCAGGUACUGAUGAUGCUGUGAGGAAAAAUGAAACGGGACAAGCGGAUGGGGUGUUAUUGUGCCCAUUUUAUGGGUACAGAAACUGAGUCUCAGAGCAGGCAAGGGGAUGCCCCGUGGUGGCCACAGCAUCGGUGGCACAGCCUGAGUGCACCCAGCGUCCCGGCCAUUGUCUGGAAGCUGUCCCCAUGACCUCCAGCGAGAGCCUGGAGCCAAGGACUGCAAGGGAGGCCCUUUCCACUGCAGCCCCGCACCGUCCACCAGUCAUUUCUCCAACGUGGCUCUGAGGGGAGCAGGGACUCUAUAAGACAGGACCGUGACUAGAGGCCGCGACAACCUCCAGCCUCUCACGGCAACCCUACGGCCUGCCAUCGCAUGGGAGGGGCAGGGCAGGCACCCUCUGAGUCCCCACUGCCAGCUUUAAGCCCCUCGCUGGGUUGCUGCUCUUGGAGCUGGUGACCGUGGAGCCUCAGCCAUAGGAGGAAGAACAGCAGCAGCUUGGAGGAGCUGGGGCUGGAGAGAGCAAAGCUCCCCCGGCAGCAGCUCAGAUCCCAGCAGGUCAGGGGCCGGGACAUGACGCCCUGGCCACCCUUGCCCCUCCAGGCUCCCCGCUGUUUGUGAAGCUGCUGUGGGCCUGGGGAUUUCAUCUGGCUGGUGGGGAAGAAAGGCAAUCUUUACUCUAUGGCAGAACAAAGGGACUGGGCAAAGCUUGGCGUGGCACUUACACCAGCUGCCGCCCCCUCCUCCCGUGCAGACAAAGAGCAUGGGACAGUUCUGCCCAGAGACGAAACCUGGCACCUGUUGGCCAGGACGCGUUUUUGCCAGCAUUGUUCUCUGGGCCGGAUUCCUCCUUUCCCAGCUUUUCUCAUCCAUCCCGCCCCCGUCAGAUCGGGACGAUUGCCCUCCUGUGUGAGUUCCUGUCCCUCCCCACCCUCUGCCACCACAGACAUCAAAAGGGAACUGAGUCCGACCCUGUGUAGAAUCUGUUCUCCUCUUUCACCUGGGGAAGGAAAUCGAAUUUCAAAGGCCACUGUGUCUUGGAUCAGCAGGCGAGGGCUUGUCAGAGUGUGAGAAGCUCAGGUCCACCUGGGGAGCUGCCCUCCCCUUUGAUCCCACCUGGUGCUGUGAUGUGGCCACUGCCAAGAGGACGACAUGGGCCAGGGAAGCCACAGAACUGCCCACGGGGACGCUGGCACCGAGGGCCUCAACCUGCAGAACGGCCAUCUGAGAUGUCCGCGGUGCUCACCAGGCCUGGCAGCCCCGAACGCCCUGGGACGUGGCGUCAGUUCCGCCGCCGUGAAGCCAGAUUGGGCAGGGAAUAUGCAGUCUCCUCGCUGGAUGCCCGGCAAGACCCUCCCAUCCCUGGCCCCGGGGCCGCGCCUGCAGAAUGGGGCUGAUGGUGGGGACUUGCCUGGGGUGCUCCACCUGCAGAGCCCUCUGUUUGCGAGCCCACUCAGUCACUGCACAGGUGCUUAGCCGAGAGGCGGCACAGUCGGGGUUGGCACCUGCACCCAUACCAGCCCUGCCUCCUGUUCGCUGUGUGGCCUGAGUGGCUGGACCUCACUGUAUCUCCUGGUGGGAUUGCUCAGAGGUCUCAGCAAGGCUUGGUGUGGUUAGGAUGAGUUAUUAGAGCAGUGCUGAGCUGUGGCAAGCACCCGACAUCAGCCACUGCUGUGAUAUACUGAGCACCUCCUCUAGAGAGAAUAAAGGACUGACAAAGCUG
Homo sapiens (human) is the source of this 2139-nucleotide long non-coding RNA. Ensembl annotates it as DBH antisense RNA 1. Its record names the gene DBH-AS1. The record is from Ensembl. Lineage: Eukaryota; Metazoa; Chordata; Mammalia; Primates; Hominidae.